GCCGCUAAACCCCCAAUUUUUUGUGGUUGACCUCGGAUCAGGUAGGAAUACCCG
This 54-nucleotide ribosomal RNA is filed under the name Pestalotiopsis sp. RNAcentral describes it as "partial 28S ribosomal RNA". RNAcentral also lists the same sequence under 2 other names. The record is from RNAcentral. Lineage: Eukaryota; Fungi; Ascomycota; Sordariomycetes; Amphisphaeriales; Sporocadaceae.